UGGGGAAUAUUGCACAAUGGGCGAAAGCCUGAUGCAGCGACGCCGCGUGAGGGAUGACGGCCUUCGGGUUGUAAACCUCUUUCAGCAGGGACGAAGCGCAAGUGACGGUACCUGCAGAAGAAGCACCGGCUAACUACGUGCCAGCAGCCGCGGUAAUACGUAGGGUGCAAGCGUUGUCCGGAAUUACUGGGCGUAAAGAGUUCGUAGGCGGUUUGUCGCGUCGUUUGUGAAAACCAGCAGCUCAACUGCUGGCUUGCAGGCGAUACGGGCAGACUUGAGUACUGCAGGGGAGACUGGAAUUCCUGGUGUAGCGAUGAAAUGCGCAGAUAUCAGGAGGAACACCGGUGGCGAAGGCGGGUCUCUGGGCAGUAACUGACGCUGAGGAACGAAAGCGUGGGUAGCGAACAGG
Molecule: ribosomal RNA, 409 nt
Filed under: bacterium
Lineage: Bacteria
Also listed under: 1 other name
Description: partial 16S ribosomal RNA
Rfam family: Bacterial small subunit ribosomal RNA
Source: RNAcentral